This 401-nucleotide ribosomal RNA is filed under the name uncultured bacterium. RNAcentral describes it as "bacterial SSU rRNA". It matches the Rfam family "Bacterial small subunit ribosomal RNA", at positions 355 to 773 of the family's 1533-position model. The record is from RNAcentral.
UGGGGAAUAUUGGACAAUGGGCGCAAGCCUGAUCCAGCAAUGCCGCGUGGAUGAAGAAGGUCUUCGGAUUGUAAAGUCCUUUCGGCGGGGACGAUGAUGACGGUACCCGCAGAAGAAGCCCCGGCUAACUUCGUGCCAGCAGCCGCGGUAAUACGAAGGGGGCUAGCGUUGCUCGGAAUGACUGGGCGUAAAGGGCGCGUAGGCGGAUUGGUCAGUCAGAUGUGAAAUUCCUGGGCUUAACCUGGGGGCUGCAUUUGAGACGGCUGAUCUAGAGUGGGGAAGAGGGUCGUGGAAUUCCCAGUGUAGAGGUGAAAUUCGUAGAUAUUGGGAAGAACACCGGUGGCGAAGGCGGCGACCUGGUCCUUGACUGACGCUGAUGCGCGAAAGCGUGGGGAGCAAAC